Long non-coding RNA from Epinephelus lanceolatus (giant grouper), 1461 nucleotides. RefSeq lists it as uncharacterized. The record is from RefSeq and is a predicted model, not a curated record. Lineage: Eukaryota; Metazoa; Chordata; Actinopteri; Perciformes; Serranidae.
AACUGCCUUUAUAAGACCAAACCUCCUCCAUCCAUAAACAUACUCAGCACUGAGAGCGCACUCAACACUGAGAGCACACUCAACACAGCGGCACCCAUGGAUUUUCUCAAAAGUUUGACUGGUGAUACUGACAUUGCAAAGGCAGCAGGUGAAUUCGUGGAGAGCGGGGUGAAAAGUUUCCUGGGUUCUGGAGAUGAGAAAGCCGAGGGAGCACCCAGUGCUGAAGGAGACGCCCCCAUCACUGAUGGCGAAAAGACAGAUGACGUUGCAGAAGAUAGCGGUGAAAAUAAAGCUGACGAUCAAAAAGAACCUGCCGAAAACGCCAAGCAGUAAGAAGGAAGAGGAGGUGAAUCAUUUAAACUGACUAAUGUGAAUAAUGUGGAAAAAAAAAUCAUGUAAUGUAAUGUAAUGUAAUGUAAUCUUAUCUUAUCUUAUCUUAUCUUAUCUUAUCUUAUCUUAUCAUAAAACAACACUAACUGGGCUGUGCUGUUAUCAGCUACUGCUGCUGCUGCUGCUUUCAACUUUGUGAGGAAAAAAACAAACAUUGCCUGCAACAUACAGUGGAAUUCUUUGAGGUUUUUUUUUUUUUUUACUAACAGUGAUAGUUGUGGGCCACAAUCUAAAGUGUUAGUGAAAAAUGUACUCCACAAUUUCCAACAGCCCGUGAUGAUGAUGUUAAAUUACCAGCUUUGUUGGUCAGUCUGACAUUCUUACAAUGCAGCCAGAGUGCAUUCUUUGUAUAAGAGGAGACCACAGAGUCUGCAGAGACCACCCAGCUAGGAGCAGUUAAUACUUAGGGAAUAAGUUGUAAUAACGACCCUAACACAAAUGUCAAGCUAUGUUUGCUGUUUGCAGCUAUGUUUUUAAGCAGCUGUUAAACUGAUCUGAUUGUCUUUGAUGUAUUUUGGUACAUAUUUUUAUUAUUAUCUCAUCUUUGUCUGCCAUGUUUUUCGGUGGUGGGAGUAAUGAAAGUUGUUGAAGGACUCUUCAGUUAGACAGCCUGCAGACCACAUCCAUCAACCUCAGAGAGGAGCAACUCCACCUGAACUGGUGUCAUAUGAAACAUGCACAACAUCAUAACUAAAUGUUUAAUUGAAUGUAACAAAUUUAUCAACUGUGCUGAGGAAAUCUGUGAAGCUUGUUAGACAAACUAUGAUGCAUUACUAAAAUGGUUUGACCUUAACCUAUAUGGUUAAAAAUAUCUAUAAAUCUUUAAUGCCACCUGGAGAUGACCAGUGUUUUCUGUGUCAUGAUUAAACAGUCAUUGUCAUAAAUUACAUGUACACCAGUGCAAAUCCUCUUCUGUAUUUUGGUGAAGACUGCUGAUGCCAACUAAACUGCUUCAGCAACAGCUGUUUUGUUUUUGUUGUAUUUAAUCUUCUUUCACUAAAUAUUCAGCACAAAAUUCAGGUUUAGAUUUCAUCAGUGGUGGAAUUUAAUAAAGUACAUUUACUGUCUACA